RNAcentral lists this long non-coding RNA (368 nucleotides) under Triticum aestivum (bread wheat). RNAcentral's name for it is "long non-coding RNA (TAES_LNC004700)". The record is from RNAcentral. Lineage: Eukaryota; Viridiplantae; Streptophyta; Magnoliopsida; Poales; Poaceae.
CCUGUUUUCAACUGUCUCAACUCUCUUAGGAGAAAGACACGAUGCAACAGGCAGGGGUGGUGUAGUGGGCUUGGGACUAAGAGGUCCCGAGGCCUUGUGAGCUGUCCCAACUCUCUUAGGAGAAAGACACGAUGCAACAGGCUGGGGUGGUGUAGUGGGCUUGGGACUAAGAGGUCCCGAGGCCUUGUGAGCUGUCUCAACUCUCUUAGGAGAAAGACACGAGGCAACAGGAUGGGGUGGUGUCGUGGGCUUGUGAGUAAGAGGUGUCGUGGGCUUGUGAGUAAGAGGUGCUGUGGCCUUGUGGGUAAGAGGCACCAAAGCCUUGUGAUUAAGCGGUGGCAUGGCCUUGGGAGUAAACGGUGUCGUGG